Molecule: unclassified non-coding RNA, 657 nt
Filed under: uncultured Prochlorococcus sp.
Lineage: Bacteria; Bacillati; Cyanobacteriota; Cyanophyceae; Synechococcales; Prochlorococcaceae
Description: partial 16S-23S ribosomal RNA intergenic spacer; may also contain 16S ribosomal RNA and 23S ribosomal RNA
Rfam family: Bacterial small subunit ribosomal RNA (bases 1-92)
Source: RNAcentral
UGUGGAGGAGGACGCCGAAGGUGGGGCUAAUGACUGGGGUGAAGUCGUAACAAGGUAGCCGUACCGGAAGGUGCGGCUGGAUCACCUCCUAACAGGGAGACAACAAAAAUGUAAAUAUUAAUUUUGUCACCUUAGGUCGAUCGGUAUCUCAGAUUCUUGAAUUUUCAAGAAUUUUAGUUUCUAAGUUUUUUCUAGGUCACACCCAUCAUUUUUCCUGGGCCAUUAGCUCAGGUGGUUAGAGCGCACCCCUGAUAAGGGUGAGGUCCCUGGUUCAAGUCCAGGAUGGCCCAUAUCUCUAUGUUGGGGGUAUAGCUCAGUUGGUAGAGCGCCUGCUUUGCAAGCAGGGUGUCAGCGGUUCGAGUCCGCUUACCUCCACUGAAUACCACCUCUUACAUAAAGUCAAUGAGGAAAAAUUUGUUGAGUUGUGUCCUUUUUCGCUCUGAGCGAAUCUAGCUUCCUAUUUUUUUCUAAAAUAAAUAAGAUGCUGGAUUCAUUGAAUCUUAUUCAUUGUUUUCAGAGAACCUUGACAACUGCAUAGAUUAUUUAAAGACAAUAAGCAUCUAUAUAAUGAUGCAGAUUUAUUAUUUGUGCUGAUGCAUUAAAUAACAAUUCUAUUAAGCUGAUGCUUCUAUUAUGAAGUUAUUGGUCAAGCUACAA